This 471-nucleotide ribosomal RNA is filed under the name uncultured Anaerolineaceae bacterium. Its description in RNAcentral is "bacterial SSU rRNA". It matches the Rfam family "Bacterial small subunit ribosomal RNA", at positions 897 to 1382 of the family's 1533-position model. The record is from RNAcentral. Lineage: Bacteria; Bacillati; Chloroflexota; Anaerolineae; Anaerolineales; Anaerolineaceae.
AAACUUAAAGGAAUUGACGGGACCCGCGCAAGCAGCGGAGCGUGUGGUUUAAUUCGUUGCUACACGAAGAACCUUACCUGGGUUUGACAUAUAAGUUGUAGGGAACUGAAAAGGGACCGACCCUUCGGGGAGCUUAUACAGGUGUUGCAUGGCUGUCGUCAGCUCGUGUCGUGAGAUGUUCGGUUAAGUCCGCUAACGAGCGCAACCCUCGCCGUAUGUUACAAGUGUCAUACGGGACUGCCGGUAAAAAGCCGGAGGAAGGUGAGGAUGAUGUCAAGUCAGCAUGACCUUUAUAUCCAGGGCUACACACACGCUACAAUGGUCUGUACAAUUGGUUGCCAAGCCGCGAGGCGGAGCCAAUCCGUAAAGCAGGCCUCAGUUCAGAUUGCAGUCUGCAACUCGACUGCAUGAAGCCGGAGUUGCUAGUAACCGCAGGUCAGCAAUACUGCGGUGAAUACGUUCCCGGGUCUU